AUAAGUUCAAGUUCAACUUGAUACAGGUUAAUUUACAUAUCAUUGGCUUUUUUAAUAAGCAGAAAGUGUCUUUUUGCAAUUGAACCUAAAUUUAAUCUUGAAGAUGUUAAAACCCAUUGAUAAAUCACUCUUAAGUAUAUCGUCAUCAUUUACAUGAUUACACCGUGUUACUGUCUCUAAAGUGUACACAUAGACCGAAAAAAGGGGAAGAAAACUUUGUGCUUUAUCCAUGUUCUUUUAACACUUAGGUAGAUCUUAUAACCCAAACAGAAACAAAACAAAUAUAGGAGUAAGUAAUUGAUUGCAUUUGUAGAUAUACCUUUAGGUUUCUUUCUUAAGUAUGUUUACAUAUAAAUCAAAUAACACGAGAAAAACUAAGGCCCUCUUUUUUUCCUUGAAUAUAAUGAGUUUCAACUUUUCUGCUUCAAACCGACAAAAAAUACAUUAAUAGGUAGUAAUUAUGGUCAUCAUUUUAGUAAUCUUUUUUCCCGCUAACCAAGCCAAAAUGUUUAUAAAUUCAUGUAUAAACUUAUUUACAGUUUAUAGUGGAAAGAUUCUGGGAUUUGAUCUAAUACUGUGCUUUGGAAGUACAGAUUAGCUCUUCCCACAUUCAAAUCAAAAGAUAUUUGCUCAUGUCCCUAAAUUAACCACUUAAUCUUAUCUAUUUUUCAGUUAUUUUGUUCCGUCACUUUUCUACAUAGCAAUGCAGGAGGUUAAAAAUUAAGGCAAGAGAUCCAAAUAAACAAGCUAACGCAGCAAUAGAAGUCCAACAUAAAUGACAGCUUUAGUAGAAUGUCGUAUAUAAUUAUUAACACCUUAUUUAAGUACUUCCAUUAAAAGAAAAACCAGAUACAUCCAUAUAAAUAACAACAAAAAUUAAUACUUUUGGCUCUACACAUCCAAUCUCUUCAGAAACAAUUGCAAACAUCUGUGUGAAGUAUCAGUAUCAAUUAUACAGCGAGAAACAUAAAAUGCAGUCACCAUUUUCACCAAAGAAUGCGGUUUUAAUAACUUCUGCCACUAUCCAUCACCAAAAAAAACCAUUCUUGAAUCAGUUUAUAUAACGGUAACUACACAAAUCGAGUGUUCAUAAUUCAGAUACAUCAUCAUAAAUUCUACCGAUAUCCAAGCAGCACAUGUCCUUAAAAAAACAUCUCUUGUCCAAACAGACACAGAUAUAAAGCAUACAUUAAACAACGAGAAUUCAUGGCAUUCAACAAAAAAAACCAUCUAUCUCUUCAUAACCAAGAACAAAAUCAAGCUAUUACACGAUUAAUAAGUGGGCAAGAACAGAAUUCAGCAAAACCAUAUACUGCAUCAUCAUCAUAAGUCUAAUCCANUGCAGAUGAAAAAUUACGAGGUUGAGUUGAUAGAAAAGAAUGCAAAUGAUUUACUUACAAAGCCAUUUCCUAAAGAUCAAGAGCACGAUCUUGAAGUCCUCGUGAUUGAGACAUAUAUAACUAAAAAAAAGUUACAAGUUCAAACUGGAGAGAAUCGCUAAGUAAUUCUAGAACAAUUGGAUGAACACUUGACAGUUGACAUUGCUGAAAAAUACCCUGGAUUUCUACUUAUAUAACAUAGAUGGAAAAGGAAAAACAAGAGUAACAAUCCAGUUCAAUCAAAAAAAUACUAAGUUUAGUGAUCUCUAUAUUCAAGGAAUAAAAUAGAUAACAUAUAAAGAAAAAAAAGGCUAAUGUAAAUAUUAAAAUAUAAAGAACCCAGUCAAGUGUAGUAGCACAUGCUCGAUAAAGGCAUAGAGGUAAACCGUCAAGGGCCUGAUAACAACUUCGUCACAAACAUAAACAUGUCCAACAAGAAAACCACUUAUUUUAGGUAUAUAAAGUCAGUUUCAUAAAAGGAGAAACUAUAGGAUCUUCAUGAUAAGUUCAAGUUCAACUUGAUACAGGUUAAUUUACAUAUCAUUGGCUUUUUUAAUAAGCAGAAAGUGUCUUUUUGCAAUUGAACCUAAAUUUAAUCUUGAAGAUGUUAAAACCCAUUGAUAAAUCACUCUUAAGUAUAUCGUCAUCAUUUACAUGAUUACACCGUGUUACUGUCUCUAAAGUGUACACAUAGACCGAAAAAAGGGGAAGAAAACUUUGUGCUUUAUCCAUGUUCUUUUAACACUUAGGUAGAUCUUAUAACCCAAACAGAAACAAAACAAAUAUAGGAGUA
This 2172-nucleotide long non-coding RNA is filed under the name Daucus carota (carrot). Its description in RNAcentral is "long non-coding RNA (DCAR_LNC006278)". The record is from RNAcentral. Lineage: Eukaryota; Viridiplantae; Streptophyta; Magnoliopsida; Apiales; Apiaceae.